UUUUUUUUUUGAAAAUUGGGGUCUAAAGUGUUUUUUUUGAAAUUUUUUUUGUAUUUAUAGGUUCCUUGCACGACGUCGUUUUGAGCUUAAGCUUCAGACGCCAAAAUGACGUAGUUUUGAAGCGUGACCCAAAAACCGACCCAACCCAUCCUAGGAUUAGCGUGUUUUCCAGCAAUGGUCUAUUUGCAACCCUGGUCCUUCCGCUUUU
This 208-nucleotide long non-coding RNA is filed under the name Gossypium raimondii (Peruvian cotton). Its description in RNAcentral is "long non-coding RNA (GRAI_LNC007531)". The record is from RNAcentral. Lineage: Eukaryota; Viridiplantae; Streptophyta; Magnoliopsida; Malvales; Malvaceae.